Molecule: RNA transcript, 3660 nt
Organism: Pipistrellus kuhlii (Kuhl's pipistrelle)
Lineage: Eukaryota; Metazoa; Chordata; Mammalia; Chiroptera; Vespertilionidae
Gene: COPS7A
Gene name: COP9 signalosome subunit 7A
Exons: 10
Source: RefSeq, a predicted model, not a curated record
GGCGGGGGGCACUGGCGGGGCACCUGUGGAGAUUAGAAGGCGCGUUGUCGUUGGGGUAGACACCAUGUGACACCUCUUCCCCCACUGCAUCCUGUGCCUUAGGGUUCAAUGGGGUGUUCGUGCUCCGGACAUCCUGAGCCCACGUCCCCCCAGCUCAGUGCAGCCAUGAGUGCCGAGGUGAAGGUGACAGGGCAGAACCAGGAGCAGUUUCUGCUCCUGGCCAAGUCUGCCAAGGGGGCGGCGCUGGCCACACUCAUCCACCAGGUGCUGGAGGCCCCUGGUGUCUACGUGUUUGGGGAACUGCUGGAUAUGCCUAAUGUUAGAGAGCUGGCUGAGAGUGACUUCGCUUCCACAUUCCGCCUGCUCACAGUGUUUGCUUAUGGGACGUAUGCUGACUAUUUAGCUGAAGCCCGGAAUCUCCCCCCACUCACAGAGGCUCAGAAGAAUAAGCUUCGACACCUGUCGGUCGUCACCCUAGCUGCCAAAGUCAAGUGUAUCCCAUAUGCAGUGCUGCUGGAGGCCCUGGCCCUGCGCAACGUGCGGCAGCUGGAAGACCUGGUCAUAGAGGCCGUGUACGCCGACGUGCUCCGUGGCUCCCUGGACCAGCGCAAUCAGCGGCUGGAGGUUGACUACAGCAUUGGGCGGGACAUCCAGCGCCAGGACCUGAGUGCCAUUGCCCGAACCCUACAGGAGUGGUGUGUGGGCUGCGAGGUAGUGCUGUCAGGCAUUGAGGAGCAGGUGAGCCGUGCCAACCAGCACAAGGAGCAGCAGCUGGGCCUGAAGCAGCAGAUUGAGAGUGAGGUCGCCAACCUUAAGAAAACCAUUAAAGUUACAACAGCAGCAGCCGCCGCAGCCACAUCUCAGGACCCCGAGCAACACCUGACUGAACUGAGAGAACCAGCUGCUGGCACCAACCAGCGCCAGCCCAGCAAGAAAGCCUCAAAGGGCAAGGGCCCCAAGCACACCAUGGUGGUGAUAGCUGCAACAAUGACAGCGAGAGUGGCUCAGCAGGCACUUAAAAUUCUGAGAGGAGAAUCCAUAUCUGACCAGAAGAAUUAUGGUCCCACAAGUCUUCAUAUAUCCAAAUGUUCUUUGCCUCAGGCCCCACAGACAUACGGCUGACAUCCUGGAUGGAGAACACUGACAUCUUGGGGAUAAUUGUCCAGAAGCUGUACGUUCUCCAGUUGACAGGCUACAUGAAGAGAAUGGGAUGGAUGCUGGGGCAGCACCCUGUUCUCCAAAAGAUAAGGUCUUCGGGGCUGACGAGAAGAAUCGUAAAGGGCAGAGAAAGGGCAAGGAAUUCUGACCUCACCUCAGGGACAGGACCUGGGCUCAGAGCAGGAAGCACCACUGCUCCUCCUUGUCCCUGGACAUCCAUUCAAGGUAGACACUGAGUCUGGGAAGGCUCAGAGCUAUCAGCACCCCACAGGGGGCCUUGAGGCUCACCUACUCCAGCAGCUCUGCCAGCCUUCGGCAUCCCAACCCCUUUAGAUCUUCCCUCCAGCCAUUCCAGCUCCAUGUCCCCCGCAGGUUCUCCCCAGGGAUGGAGGCAAGCUGGGAGGCUCCUUGUGGGAACCAGCUAUUCAGUCUUUUCUCCGAGUGCCCUCCUUGGUUGCUUCUCUUAUCUUUCAGCACCUCCUCUGCCCAAAUGCCCCUAUCGUCAUCUCUCCUCCUCCAGUGUGGCUUCACCUGGCUCCCACCUCUCCUGUCUGAAGCCCCCAGUGAUGUCUAAGGCGAAGGCUACUUUUUUCUUGUUCCUAGCCCAAGGGGAAUGGCCUGAGAGAAGGAACUCUUGACUCUUGUUGCUCCUUCAGCCUCUUUCCCAGGACUGUGAGCUUAAGGGCAGGACAGGUACAUAAAGUUAAGUGGCCAGGAAUACGUGGGCUAGGAGACCAGCCCUCGUUCUCUGGGUAGCCUGAUUAUAUAACUCGGGAUUGAAUAGGCGUCACUGGGCAAAAGAUGUUACUAGAACCUGAAGCCCUUUGUUAGCACAGGAGGGGGGCAAAUCUCAAACUGCAAGUGGGGCGGGAUCAGAAUGGACCAAAACAUUUGUUUCUACUUGUUGGUCUGUGAACUGAGCGAUGACAAGGUGAAAGAUGAUAGUUGGUAGCUGGGAGAAGGGAGGGCUUGAAGCUGAUUCAAGGCCAGUAAGAUGGAAGUUCGGUUGUGUCUAGCAGUAUUUUCAGAGUCCUGUGGGUGGAAUGAAGGAUGAGGACCAGAGAGAGCACUGAAGGAGCCAGACUGAGACAGGACAAUUGGGGAGAAACCAUUUAUAUCCCAUGCUGUUUCUCCUCUGUGUCAAAAACUUUCUCUGCACUCUCCUCAUCAGCACCGCCACAGUGCCCAGAAAGGCCCAUUUUACAGAACAGGAAACUGAUGUGGAGAGAUGAAGAACCUUCCCCAGAGUUGUAGGUAAGUUCUGGAACAACAUAUCACUGCCGAGAACAGGCCCGCGGGAGUAGGUGUUGGGUUGAAGGGAAGACCUCACCCAAGAGCAGGGAGCUGGGAUGAAAAUUGGUUCAUGUAUCUGAAAGCCAGAACCCAAAUGGGAGAGCUUGUGACUCAGCUACAUGGCAAGGGCAACCCUUGCCCUGCGACAGCCCCCACUCAGAACUACACCCACGUGUGGGUGCUGGAGCAGAAAUCCAGGAUGAGAUUGGGCACUACUGCAGCCUGAGGUUUUGUAGCCCAAGACCACAUGGCUAGGUUGGUGGCAGAACUGAAUGGAAGACCCAGCCUCUGGGCUCCUUCAGUAACUCCAGUGAUUCCUCAGGGGCCGCCCCCUCAGGAGACUAAUAAGGCCACUCCCCCUGCUAGAGGAAGUGAGUGUGUGUCUAUCUGGACUGAGCAGAUUACACUCGUAGCUGAGGGCUAUGGACACUGAGUUCCAUCAACCAUAACUCAGCACCCAGCACCUAGGUGGAGGUUGGAUUAGCUAUACCUGUUUAACCUCUGGAAUUCUUGGGUUCUGGUGUGGAGCUUUUUUGUUUUUAUUAAUUUCUAAAGAGAAAGGGAGAGGGAGAGAGACAGAGAACCAGAGAGAGAGGAAACAGAAACAUCAAUGUGAGAAACAGAUCAGUUGCCUCCUGUUCCCAAGAGAAACAGAGUGACCCAUUUGCCUGAGCCAGGUCAAGCAGGAGUGAAUGUCUUGAGAAAUUUGAGCACUUCAUGCCCUUCCAGUACCGCUCAGGUUCCGGGUUAGUUUUCUCCUCUGGUCCCCUUCCCUGGGCUCAAAUUCUCACCGCCUGGCAGUGGAGGGUUUGAAGAAUGUUGGGUGGAAUGUUGCUGACCCCAGAGAUCCUCCCACUUGAAGGCCUGCGUAGGGUUAUUUGGACUCCUUCCUGCUCUGUACCACAAGUGUUCCCACCCACAGCCCAUGGGAGAGACUGUGCCUGAGGGACAAGGGGCAGCAAAUUCCUCAGGCACCUCGGAGAUAGGCCCUACAUUCCCCCUGACAAGUGAAGUCACAGCAAAAGCAAGGGAGGACAGCUGAGUCCCACUGCUGCUUCUCCUCUGCCAGUCCCAAUGUCAUUAUCACUGAGGCCCUGGGAUUGAACCUGAGUUAUGAAGGUCACACAUGAAGACAGAAGAAAGGAGAUGACGAGGAGGAGACGAGAGGGUUGAAAUUGAACAGGGAACAGAUUAAAAGUAAAGCCAGAA